This 514-nucleotide ribosomal RNA is filed under the name uncultured bacterium. Its description in RNAcentral is "partial 16S ribosomal RNA". It matches the Rfam family "Bacterial small subunit ribosomal RNA", at positions 28 to 523 of the family's 1533-position model. The record is from RNAcentral.
GACGAACGCUGGCGGCGUGCCUAACACAUGCAAGUCGCACGGGGAGUUAUUUAUAACUCCUAGUGGCGAACGGGUGAGUAACGCGUAGACAACCUGCCUCUAAAUUGGGGACAACACCGCGAAAGUGGUGCUAAUACCGAAUGUGGUAACUUGGUCGCAUGACACGGUUAAGAAAGAUGGCCUCUCUAUAUAAGAUACCAAUUAGAGGUGGGUCUACGUCUGAUUAGCUAGUUGGUGGGGUAAUGGCUCACCAAGGCGACGAUCAGUAGACGGUCUGAGAGGAUGAACGGACACACUGGGACUGAGACACGGCCCAGACUCCUACGGGAGGCAGCAGUGGGGAAUCUUCCGCAAUGGACGAAAGUCUGACGGAGCAACGCCGCGUGAGUGAAGAAGGUCUUCGGAUUGUAAAGCUCUGUCGUUUGGGACGAACGUGGAUUGUGUGAAUAAUGCAGUCUAAUGACGGUACCAAAGGAGGAAGCCACGGCUAACUACGUGCCAGCCGCCGCGGUAA